ACGCUCGACACCUACGGGGGCAGCAGUUGGGAAUAUUGGACAAUGGAGGAAACUCUGAUCCAGUGACGCCGCGUGAAGGAAGAGGGUCUUCGGAUUGUAAACUUAUUUUGUCAGGGAAGAAAAAUGACUGUACCUGAAGAAAAAGCACCGGCUAACUACGUGCCAGCAGCUGCGGUAAUCUGAGCGGGCUGGCAAGGC
Molecule: ribosomal RNA, 198 nt
Filed under: uncultured bacterium
Lineage: Bacteria
Description: partial 16S ribosomal RNA
Rfam family: Bacterial small subunit ribosomal RNA
Source: RNAcentral